GAUUUUAGCAGGUGGAAGAGGGUAGCAAUAACAGGGUCCGUGAUGCCCUUUAGAUGCUCUGGGCUGCACGCGUGCUACAAUGUUAGGAUCAAUAGGACUGCGAGCCUGAGAGGGUGCGCUACUCUUAUAAUCCCUAACGUAGUUGGGAUUGACGUUUGUAAUCAGCGUCAUGAACCAGGAAUCCCUUGUAAAUGUGUGUCAACAACGCACGUUGAAUACGUCCCUGCCCUUUGUACACACCGCCCGUCGCUCCUACCGAUUGGAUGACUCGGUGAAAUCACCGGAUGCUUACGAGCAGAAAGUGAUUAAAUCACGUUAUCUAGAGGAAGGAGAAGUCGUAACAAGGUAACGGUAGGUGAACCUGCCGUUGGAUCAGUU
Molecule: non-coding RNA, 378 nt
Filed under: Trichomonas vaginalis G3
Lineage: Eukaryota; Parabasalia; Trichomonadida; Trichomonadidae
Description: Eukaryotic small subunit ribosomal RNA
Rfam family: Eukaryotic small subunit ribosomal RNA
Source: Rfam by way of RNAcentral